GGAUCCUUGCUUGAGCAACGACGACCUCCCAUUCAAGCCGCUUCAUUCUUGGUUCAAGUGCAAUGUUAGCCUUGGCCGUUUGUCGGGUUUCCUGUGUUACGUACCUAGUGCGAUGGUAUUCGGUUGUAACAAUUGUCCCUCGUUCGUCUUGUGAUGCUUGUUUGAUGUGCGUCAUUGAUGAACCACGAAGCGCUCGUCGCGGUCCUCUUGGCUCACGCCUGUCGUGGGUCGUCUGCGGCUCGUGACUAGUUGCUUGUGCUCAUGGAUGCAGAAAUCAUUGAAGGUAUGGGGCGAUGACCCCUGUGUACCCGUAACUAAGCGUUCACCGCUAACCAGCGUACGACUGUCGUUGUCGUCUUCGGUCGGCCGGCUCUUUGGGUCGUGCCUUACCCGGGCGGCACCGACGUCUGUGAGGA
This 416-nucleotide unclassified non-coding RNA is filed under the name Orianthera serpyllifolia. RNAcentral describes it as "Logania serpyllifolia partial external transcribed spacer". The record is from RNAcentral. Lineage: Eukaryota; Viridiplantae; Streptophyta; Magnoliopsida; Gentianales; Loganiaceae.